RNAcentral lists this long non-coding RNA (226 nucleotides) under Fukomys damarensis (Damara mole-rat). Its description in RNAcentral is "lncRNA (ENSFDAG00000032862.1)". Lineage: Eukaryota; Metazoa; Chordata; Mammalia; Rodentia; Bathyergidae. The record is from RNAcentral.
CCUGAGAUGUAAUCACAGGCGUCCUUGUAAGGAGAUGGCGGAGGGGCGCUGGGCCACAGAGGAGACCAUGAGGAGUUGGGGGUCAGACCGUUAGAAUUCGAAUUCUGAGGUGAUCGUUCAUUACCUCUGACUGCCGACCAUCCACGUCUUCGUCAGGAAUACCACAUUCCCAGGCACCGCACACAGGGUAGACAACACUGAAAGCUGAGCAAACAAGAAUCCAGCC